CUAUUAUAAUACCUAUUCUAUUAGAACUAGCAGAAAGUAUACCCGUAGAACCAGCAAAUGUUGUCUUUAAAUAUAAACUCCAUGUUAGUGACACAGAAUAAAGUUAAAUAUUCUGUACGGAAAGAAACCACUGCACUGGGUACAACAGAAACACUGGCACAAGCUAC
Long non-coding RNA from Priapulus caudatus, 167 nucleotides. RefSeq lists it as uncharacterized. NCBI's taxonomy places the organism in Eukaryota, Metazoa, Priapulida, Priapulimorpha, Priapulimorphida, Priapulidae. The record is from RefSeq and is a predicted model, not a curated record. The transcript has 3 exons.